RNAcentral lists this transfer RNA (69 nucleotides) under Marmota monax (woodchuck). RNAcentral describes it as "tRNA.Ala". Lineage: Eukaryota; Metazoa; Chordata; Mammalia; Rodentia; Sciuridae. The record is from RNAcentral.
GGAUUGUGGCUCAGCGGUAGAGUUGCUUGCCUAGCACGCUCGGGGCCCUGGGUUCGAUCCUCAGUACCA